RNAcentral lists this unclassified non-coding RNA (223 nucleotides) under Hevea brasiliensis (rubber tree). Lineage: Eukaryota; Viridiplantae; Streptophyta; Magnoliopsida; Malpighiales; Euphorbiaceae. The record is from RNAcentral.
GCGGAUGGGGGCCGGCGAUGUGCCCCAGUCGGAUGUGGAACGGUGACGAGCCGGUCCGCCGAUCGACUUGGGGCAUGGACCGAUGCGGAUUGAGACGGCGGCCUACGCCCAGGCCUUUGUUACGCCUGUGGAGACGUCGUCGUCCCGAUCGUGGCUGGCAGCGCGCGCCUCCGGGCGGGCUUCGGCAUCUGCGCGCUCCUGGCAUCGGCCUGUGGGCUCCCCA